GCACGGAGUUAGCCGGGGCUUAUUCUCCCGGUACUGUCAUUAUCAUCCCGGGUAAAAGAGCUUUACAACCCUAAGGCCUUCAUCACUCACGCGGCAUUGCUGGAUCAGGCUUUCGCCCAUUGUCCAAUAUUCCCCACUGCUGCCUCCCGUAGGAGUCUGGGCCGUGUCUCAGUCCCAGUGUGGCUGAUCAUCCUCUCAGACCAGCUACGGAUCGUCGCCUUGGUGAGCUCUUACCUCACCAACAAGCUAAUCCGACGCGGGCUCAUCCCUGGGCGAUAAAUCUUUGGACCGAAGUCAUCAUUCGGUAUUAGCAGUCGUUUCCAACUGUUAUCCCGAACCCAAGGGCAGAUUCCCACGCGUUACGCACCCGUGCGCCACUAGACCCGAAGGUCUCGUUCGACUUGCAUGUGUUAGGCAUGCCGCCAGCGUUCGUU
This 434-nucleotide ribosomal RNA is filed under the name uncultured bacterium. RNAcentral describes it as "partial 16S rRNA". The record is from RNAcentral.